CCCUGGAUAGCCAAGAAUGGCCUUGAGUUUCUGAUCUUCCUGUCUCUAUCAAAGCCAGGGUUACACCCCUAAUACACAUUUACAAUCUCUAAUAAAAAAAUUAUAAACCUUUCAUAUAAGAUAUACAAUAGAUUGAACUAAAGAACGAAACAAAACGAAACAAAGACCAAGUCAGCCAGUGGGGACUCACACCUUUUUUUUUUUUUUUGGUUCUUUUUUUCGGAGCUGGGGACCGAACCCAGGGCCUUGCGCUUCCUAGGUAAGCGCUCUACCGCUGAGCUAAAUCCCCAGCCGGGACUCACACUUUUAAUCCUAGCACUCAAGAAGCAAAGACAGGCAGAUCUCUUGGCCAGCCUGAUCUACAGGACAGCCAGAGUGACAUGCAGAAACACUGUCUUGAGGAGAGAGAGAGAGAGAGAGAGAGAGAGAGAGAGAGAGAGAGAGAGAGAGAGAGAGAGAGAAUUUUCUAAAGGCUGGUAGUUUGAGGUUUGAGGGUCUGGACUAGCCUGUACCUUAUUCUCCAGUUGCCUGUGCCCCUGGGUCCUGAAGUGGUGGCGGCUUCAGUUAUUAACAUCUCCGGCCACCUCACCUCUUUUUUCCCCCGCAUAUGCUGCUCUGUCACCUGACAUUCCCUAGAGUUCAGUAUAGCAUGGGGCUCGUAACAUCCUGUGCUUUUGCUGUCCAGGAGGGCAGGCAGGUCACCAAGGCCAAUACCUAGCAGGUCAGCAGCUUAGCUGGCCUCAUGAGGACAGGAGUCCUCAGUUUUUAUCAGUCCAUUUACCAGUCCCGCUCACUGUUUCCCGACUGUCCCCAUGUCUAUGGGGUCAAGGACAGUGACUCUUCUGUGGGUACAUUCCCAGCACCCAUCUCGGGAUCAUAGCUCAGGAAGGUGAUAGCAGGAUAGCCUCUGGGGCAGGGGACAGAGGCGGGUUUGAAGCUGUUGUGAGCAUAGAUGACAGGGCUGAGAGCAAAGGUGGGAUGGGUCUGCACCAAGUUAGCUCUCUUCGUCCACUGCCUGUGGUGCUGCGUGUGAAACCAAGGGCCUUGUCUCUCCUGCUUGCAAGCGGGGCAAGCACUCCUCUUCCAAGCGGCAUCCCCAGCUUCCUGUCAGCCCAGUAGCCUUUACCUCCUCUCCAGCUUUCCACAUGGACAAUAGAUCCAGGGAUGGUGUUCAGAGUCACGCGCAUCCAAGGUGGAGUAAGCUACCUUAUGAUCCCUGUAUUCGUCUUGUCAUUAUAGUCACAGAGAAUCCCAUGAUGGGUGAAUGUCAGGUCAGGAUGUCGGGGGAAUGACUUGGCUGGAGGAGGUGACCCACUGAGGAACAGGAUGAAGAUGUAGAACUCUCAGCUCCUCCUGCACCAUGCCUGCCUGGAUGCUGCCAUGUUCCUGCCUUGAUGAUAAUGGACUGAACCUCUGAACCUGUAAGCCAGCCCCAAUUAAAUGUUGUCCUUUACAAGACUUGCCUUGGUCAUGGUGUCUGUUCACAGAAGUAAAACCCCAACUAAGACAUUCAGCUUCGAGGGUAGAGAGAUGGCUUAAAAGUAUCUUUUGCUCUUACAGAAGAACCAAGUUCAGCUCCCAGCACUCAUACCAGUGGCUCACCAACACCUGCAAAGCCAGUUCAACGCACACAUGUGGUGCACAUGAGCUCACACAGGCACGCAUGCAUGCACAUAAACUGAAACAAUAAAUUUUUUUCGUUAUUUGCUUUUUUUGUUUUUCAAGACAGUUUCUCUAUGUAGCCCUGGCUGUCCUGGACUCACUUUGUAGACAAGGCUAGAAUCGAAUUCACAGAGAUCCACCUGCCUCUACCUCCCUAGGGCUGGGAUUAAAGCUUUGCGCCACCACGCCUGGCCCGAUAUACUCUUAAAAAGUCAAACCUUGAAAGUUUCACCUCAGAUCUCAUGAGUGCUCUCUUCUUGUGCUCCUGGGAUAUGCCAAGAGGACUCCUGCUGGCUGGAGGUGUAUGGACCCGUGUGCCGGUGCUCUGCGUGGAUGUAUCAUGG
Molecule: non-coding RNA, 2006 nt
Organism: Rattus norvegicus (Norway rat)
Lineage: Eukaryota; Metazoa; Chordata; Mammalia; Rodentia; Muridae
Source: RefSeq, a predicted model, not a curated record